Molecule: long non-coding RNA, 707 nt
Filed under: Phasianus colchicus (ring-necked pheasant)
Lineage: Eukaryota; Metazoa; Chordata; Aves; Galliformes; Phasianidae
Description: lncRNA (ENSPCLG00000014071.1)
Source: RNAcentral
UGACAGCCUAAAGGAAAUGAUGUUGACUGAUCUCUAGUAGCUUUUUUGAGGUGUGUGGAAAGCUUGGACAGAAGAAGCUCCACUUUAUAGCAUGUUUACUCAAGAGACUAUGUUUAUACUGUCUGUUUGCCUUUACUUGCUUUCACCAUACACUGGAGGGCUUGCAUAGCUGCUGGAAGUAACUGAUGGAUGAGUACCUGCUAGGAGGUGGAUCUAUCUUCAGGGUGUCUCACAGUGUUACAAGGUUCAUGCUACUUAUAUGUGGAGAAAUGCAAACAGAAAGCGAGAGAUGGUUUCUGAAAACAUGAACACAACCUGAGGAGCAGAUAUGAACAGUCUCUUCUAUGCUCAAGAUGUCAUGUACAACUGGUAGCAGACAGUCUGCCUGAGAAAAAUACAAAACAGUAGCUAUCCCAAAAUAUAUAAGUUGGAAGAGGUUGGACACUAAUGUGAUCAUGAUGCUGAAUCAGCUUUGUGCUCCGGGGUGAGUAGCAGGGCUGUUGUUGCUCUGCAAGGAGCACAGGAGGAGGCAAAUGGCCAGGGCUGCAUGAUUCUUUUAAUUAAGUUCCAGCUGCUCAGCCUCUGCACAGCUAGCUUUUUACUGAGGUGUUAUCUCAGGUUGGCCUGUCCUCACCUGAUGGUGUGAGGCUUCAGCAAAUGCAACAGCACAAGCCAUGAGCCAGAAUUACCUACCAGGUGUAGCUGUG